GAACAUCAUCAAUAAUACCCAAUGGUCUUUUCGUAGUUCUAUCCGUCAUUUGCAGUCUCAUGGAAGUUGGCCUCGGCUGUCCAAUACCAAAAGUCUUAAAAACAUAUUAGGGAAUCAAGUUUAUACUUGCCCCCAAAUCACAUAGAACCUUAGAAAAGUCUGCACUGCCAAUGGUGCAAGGAAUGGUGAAAGCACCAGGAUCUUCUAGCUUCGGGUCCAUUGAGUGGACAAUUAUACUAACUUGGUAGAUCAUCUUGAUCGUUUCACAAUCCAUGGAUCUUUUCUUUUUCACCAAGUCCUUCAUAAAUUUAGCAUAGCCCCGCAUUUGUUCUAGAGCCUCUACCAAAUGUACAUUAACGGAUAAACUCUUCAUUAUGUCAAUAAACUUUUUAAACAGAUUCUCGUUUUCUGCUUGGCGAGCCUUUGAGGAUAAGGUGGAGGUGGACUUGGCAAAGGAGCCUUGUCCUUAGGCACAAACGGCUCCGACAUGUCUAUUACAUAAUCCCUAGACGGGUUCACGUCAUUCUGAGUCUCCACCUCGGCAUCUUGAAUAUCAAUCCUCACUUCUUUAUUCAUGUUCUCAUCAAUCAUAGUUUCAACCACCAAAGGAACUUCAUCUUCUUCCAGCUCAACGUCAUCACUCAAUAUUUACUUUUGUUUGGAGCCAUUCACAUCACCACCUCGUCCACUCCUUGUGGUUACCGCCAUAACAUGAUUGUUCCCACCUUUCGGGUUAACUAUCGUAUCACUUGGUAGAGCCCACAUAGGGAGAGUAUUCAAGGAUUAUGAGAUUUGGCCUAAUUGAACCUCCAAAUUUCUAAUUGAAAUAUUGAGGGAAGCCAACUAAGCAACAGAAUCCACAUUCCUUUUCAUCAUCUGUUCAAACAUCAUUUCAAUUCUUCCCAUUUUAUUGUUGGAAGAAUUGGGCCUUUAGGAUGGAAAUGAGGGUGGAUUUUUGGUUGUUGAUACAUUGGGGGCCUUUGAAAGCCUUGCCCCUGAUUUCCUUGAUUGCCAUUGUUCUAACCUCCUGAUUGUUGUUACCACCCCAGUUGUUGUUGUUGCUAUUCCAAUUACCUUGAUUAUUCUGAUUGCCCCAAUUAAAAUUUUUGUUGUUGUUUCCCCAAUUACUAUUCCCUUGUUGUUGUUGAUUUCCCCAAUUGCCUUGGUGCCUCCAUUGUUCUUGGUAAGAAGAAUUUCCCCUUUGGUUUCUGAU
Molecule: long non-coding RNA, 1213 nt
Filed under: Nicotiana benthamiana
Lineage: Eukaryota; Viridiplantae; Streptophyta; Magnoliopsida; Solanales; Solanaceae
Description: long non-coding RNA (NBEN_LNC032528)
Source: RNAcentral